AACCUAGCACACCUGCGGUGUGUACCUGCGGAGGGAUCAUUACCGAGUUUACAACUCCCAAACCCCUGUGAACAUACCACUUGUUGCCUCGGCGGAUCAGCCCGCUCCCGGUAAAACGGGACGGCCCGCCAGAGGACCCCUAAACUCUGUUUCUAUAUGUAACUUCUGAGUAAAACCAUAAAUAAAUCAAAACUUUCAACAACGGAUCU
RNAcentral lists this unclassified non-coding RNA (209 nucleotides) under soil metagenome. RNAcentral's name for it is "partial contains 5.8S ribosomal RNA, internal transcribed spacer 2, and large subunit ribosomal RNA". The record is from RNAcentral.